ACAGGAUUUUGGAAGUUGAUACAUACCAUCAACUUCGUUUUAUCUUCAUUUACUGCCAGACCCAUUUCCACUGACUCUUACGAUUCUUUCAAAGGUUUCCGGUGACCGUUCUAUGAAGUCGAUGUCGUCAGCAAAGGAUAUUAAAGAGAUCACACGAUAUCCUUGUCUGAAACCUCGUUUGGUAUUGAAUGGUCCGGAAAGAUUUUUUCCUAUCCUUACUGAGGAAUAUGUAUCAGCAAAUGUCAUCCUUCAGCCUUAUUAAUUUUACAGGGAUACCAAACUUAUACAUAGCUUGAAAUACUUUUGAACGUAUAGGGCUGUCGAAAGCAGCUUUAUAGUCAACAAAAAGAUGAGCUGCUUAUACUUUGUAUUUAUAUGCUUAUAGACAACAUGGAAAGGUUUUUUCUGGAGUUUAUUCUUUUAGAGGAGGAAAAAUUCGAGAGUAUUUACUUUUAUUUUUACAUUGAUUUCCUUUAAAUUUAUUAAUUUUAAAGAGAGAUAUAUGUAUAUUAUGAUUAU
This is a long non-coding RNA of Stomoxys calcitrans (stable fly), 519 nucleotides long. RefSeq lists it as uncharacterized. NCBI's taxonomy places the organism in Eukaryota, Metazoa, Arthropoda, Insecta, Diptera, Muscidae. The transcript has 3 exons. The record is from RefSeq and is a predicted model, not a curated record.